Molecule: non-coding RNA, 125 nt
Organism: Triticum aestivum (bread wheat)
Lineage: Eukaryota; Viridiplantae; Streptophyta; Magnoliopsida; Poales; Poaceae
Source: Rfam
UUACUACUCCCUCUGUCCGAAAAUAGUUGUCAUCAAAAUGGAUUAAAGGAGAUGUAUUUAGACGUCUAGAACAUCUCUUUUAAUCCAUUUUGAUGACAAGUAUUUUCGGACGGAGAAAAUAUAAG